UAUUGGGAGAGCCUGGUGCAG
This 21-nucleotide unclassified non-coding RNA is filed under the name Mus musculus (house mouse). Its description in RNAcentral is "oocyte_clustered_small_RNA13249". The record is from RNAcentral. Lineage: Eukaryota; Metazoa; Chordata; Mammalia; Rodentia; Muridae.